AACGAACGCUGGCGGCGUGGAUUAGGCAUGCAAGUCGAACGAUCUACUGUAAUGUGGAGAGUGGCAAAAGGGUGAGUAACGCAUAGGUAAUCUGCCUUAUGGUUCGGAAUAACCUUGCGAAAGCGAUGUUAAUACCGGAAACAUCCUUGACACAUAAGUGUCGAGGAUUAAAGCUGGGGACCCCAACAGGGCCUGGCGCCAAAAGAGGAGCCUGUGUCCUAUCAGCUUGUUGGUAGGGUAACGGCCUACCAAGGCUAAGACGGGUAGCUGGUCUGAGAGGAUGGUCAGCCACACUGGGACUGAGACACUGCCCAGACUCCUACGGGAGGCUGCAGUCGAGAAUCUUUUGCAAUGGGCGAAAGCCUGACAAUGCGACGCCGCGUGAGCGACGAAGCCCUUCGGGGUGUAAAGCUCUGUCAGUCCGGAUGAAUAUUCGUUUUAUAAUAUAGAACGGAGAUGACAGUACGGGCAGAGGAAGCCACGGCUAACUCCGUGCCAGCAGCCGCGGUAAUACGGAGGUGGCAAGCGUUGCUCGGAUUUAUUGGGUGUAAAGGGUGUGUAGGUGUCUUGAUAAGUCGAAUGUGAAAUCCCUUGGCUCAACCAAGGAAGUGCAUUCGAUACUGUCAAGAUUGAGCGUGGAAGAGGGGAGCGGAAUUCCCGGUGUAAGGGUGAAAUCUGUAGAUAUCGGGAGGAACACCAGUGGCGAAAGCGGCUCUCUGGUCCAAUGCUGACACUGAAACACGAAAGCUAAGGGAGCAAACAGGAUUAGAUACCCUGGUAGUCUUAGCAGUAAACGAUGGACACUAGGUGCAGGUCGUUAAGGUCUGUGCCGUAGUUAACACAUUAAGUGUCCCACCUGGGGAGACGGCGGCAACGUU
Molecule: ribosomal RNA, 878 nt
Filed under: uncultured bacterium
Lineage: Bacteria
Description: bacterial SSU rRNA
Rfam family: Bacterial small subunit ribosomal RNA
Source: RNAcentral